AUUAUCUGUCCCUGUGUCACCUUCAGCAACAUUUAAACAAACCUUUUCUUUUUCCAGGAAUUUCCAAAUCCUUUGGCAUUUCAUGUCAAAGAACUGGGCCCAAGGCAAUCUGCAGCAGUGCUGGAUGUUGCAAUGCAGGUCCAGCCCCUCCCCAGGCUCUGUGUGGAGUGGCCAGUGCUUCACCUACAACUGCAGAGCCCCAUUUUGAGGAAACCUGGGGUUUUUUUCCAGAAACCACAACCCCAGAAAUAUCAAACCUCAGGAUCCCAUAAAGGGAGAGGGAAAGUUGUCACUGGACCCAGAGGCUUGCAACAGCUGACCACUGCUGGGAACUCGGGAAAGAAAACCAAGACCCCAAAGAUCCCAAUACGCUGACAGUCAGCACAAUGUCCUGCAGGAGAACCCCCGCUUUGCCAAGCCCUGUCAGCACUCCAGAGGAUCCUUUGGCAGUUGUCUCUGAUGAUCUUUGAAAGCCCCCUUGCUGAAGCCUGCAGAGUGCCUCCACCCCCCCUGCCACGGGCUCAGGCCGUGCUCCCAGAGCUGUGGAGUGUGACAAUGGUGUUUGUGUCCAGUCUAUCAAACGCCAUUAUCACACUAAAUAGCUAUGGGUAGACAAGGCAUCAGGGCAGGAAGGUCUGGGACCUCUGGCACUGCACCUGCCCACUGUGCUGAGGAAUAAACAGCCUGGUGCAUGUACAGCUUGGGAGUUUCUUUUUCCUGUUGGACUGACCAGGACAAUAGAAAACUGAAGCCAAUUAGCUGAUGAAGUGAAACUCUGUCUCUUACUUUGGUACCAAAUCACAACAUAGGUUUGGAAUAUUGACUGAGGUGCUCGUGACAGCCUUCAAACACUUUCCAAAAUUCUGAUUAAAAUCUAUUGCCUCUAACUUGAAACAUCAUUUAUCCAGGUUCCACACGCUUUCAGCUUUGCUCCCUUCCAUGUCACAAUGAUUUGAGCACCACACCCAAGCCCACUGCCUUAUGUUCUAAACCUUAAUAUUCACAGCACCAAAUGCCUCUCCAGUGUGUACUUGUGGAACAGGAACAUGGCUCAGUGCUGAGCUUUUAG
Molecule: long non-coding RNA, 1069 nt
Organism: Pseudopipra pipra
Lineage: Eukaryota; Metazoa; Chordata; Aves; Passeriformes; Pipridae
Exons: 3
Source: RefSeq, a predicted model, not a curated record